This 373-nucleotide ribosomal RNA is filed under the name uncultured organism. RNAcentral describes it as "bacterial SSU rRNA". It matches the Rfam family "Bacterial small subunit ribosomal RNA", at positions 526 to 896 of the family's 1533-position model. The record is from RNAcentral.
CAGAGGGUGCAAACGUUGUUCGGAAUUACUGGGCGUAAAGCGUGUGUAGGCGGUCUUGUAAGUCGGGUGUGAAAGCCCUGGGCUCAACCCAGGAAGUGCACUCGAAACUGCGAGGCUAGAGUACUGGAGAGGUUGGUGGAAUUCUCGGUGUAGAGGUGAAAUUCGUAGAUAUCGAGAGGAACACCGGUGGCGAAGGCGGCCAACUGGACAGAUACUGACGCUGAGACACGAAAGCGUGGGGAGCAAACAGGAUUAGAUACCCUGGUAGUCCACGCCGUAAACGAUGGGUGCUAGGUGUCGCGGGCUUUGACUCCUGCGGUGCCGUAGCUAACGCAUUAAGCCACCCCGCCUGGGAAGUACGGCCGCAAGGACU